AGCAGCCGCGGUAAUUCCAGCUCCAAUAGCGUAUAUUAAAGUUGUUGCAGUUAAAAAGCUCGUAGUUGAAUUUCGGGAUUGGCGCAUCGGUCGUGCCUCACGGGGUAUGAACUGGUGCAGUCAAUUUCUCACCUUCUGGAGAACCGCGAUGUCCUUAAUUGGAUGCCGCGGGGAACCAGGACCUUUACUUUGAAAAAUUAGAGUGUUUAAAGCAGGCAUUUUUGCUUGAAUACAUUAGCAUGGAAUAAUAAAAUAGGACGGCAUGGUUCUAUUUUGUUGGUUUCUAGGACCACCGUAAUGAUUAAUAGGGAUAGUUGGGGGCAUUAGUAUUCAAUUGUCAGAGGUGAAAUUCUUGGAUUUAUUGAAGACUAACUACUGCGAAAGCAUUUGCCAAGGAUGUUUUCAUUAAUCAAGAACGAAAGUUAGGGGAUCGAAGACGAUCAGAUACCGUCGUAGUCUUA
Molecule: unclassified non-coding RNA, 461 nt
Filed under: uncultured Glomus
Lineage: Eukaryota; Fungi; Glomeromycota; Glomeromycetes; Glomerales; Glomeraceae
Description: SSU rRNA
Rfam family: Eukaryotic small subunit ribosomal RNA
Source: RNAcentral